RNAcentral lists this ribosomal RNA (253 nucleotides) under uncultured bacterium. Its description in RNAcentral is "partial 16S ribosomal RNA". It matches the Rfam family "Bacterial small subunit ribosomal RNA", at positions 524 to 776 of the family's 1533-position model. The record is from RNAcentral.
UACGGAGGGUGCAAGCGUUGCUCGGAAUUAUUGGGCGUAAAGGGUAGGUAGGUGGUCUCAUUUGUCUGGGGUGAAAGCCUUGAGCUUAACUCAAGAAGUGCCCCAGAAACGGUGAGACUAGAGUCCUGGAGAGGGUCGUGGAAUUCCCGGUGUAGCGGUGAAAUGCGUAGAGAUCGGGAGGAACACCAGAGGCGAAGGCGGCGACCUGGACAGGCACUGACACUCAAAUACGAAAGCGUGGGGAGCAAACAGG